GCAAACAUGACUCUUAACUUGGUGUUAGCAGACAACUAUGACCUUUAACUUUGUAUGUACACAAGUAGACACUUAAGCUUAUAUAAAAUUGAACAAAUAAAUCUAUUCCUCCUACAUGGCACCCUACAUGGCAAUUUUGUGUCCGAUGUGGCGUCUUACAUCUGUUAUGUCAUGUAGGAUAUGUGUAUCUACUUGUUUAAUUUUAUACAAGUUUAAGUAUCUAUUUGUAUACAGUCAAAGUUGGAAGAUAUAAUUAUCCGUUGAAUCCAAGUUAAGAAUUAUGUUUAUGUGUUAUGUCAUAAUUAAAAGACACUUCAAAUAGAGGAUAAAGAAUAUAUCUUUACCUUAAAAGAAGACUACUCCUAUAAGAUUUAAGAGCUUUCCUCAAUUAAACUAAUAAAUACUAGUAUUAAAUUAAUAUUCUGAUUAAGACAUCUAAAUUUCAAUAAUACAAACGGAAAGGAAAUGUCACGAUAAAAAAUGGGUGUGAUGACACUCGUCUUAUCCCACCAAGACAAGUCAGCCUAAAACUCAACCAUUACAAUAAAGUGCGAAAAUAAAAUAUAAGUAACUUAAUAAAAAAUCCAAAACCUGGUAGUCACGUGUACAAGCCUCUAAAGUAUUACAAUUGACACAAAAGAAAACUCAAGUCUCAAAUGAACUUGGUUUUAGAAUAUAACAAAAUCACAAUUAAGGAGAAGGAAGUCUGCUGAGAUGGAAACAGCUACCUCACAAAUCUCCAAGAAGCCUCGGAAAAGAAGAGAAUGACAAGUACAACAAAAAUCCAGGCUCAUAACCUACAAAAAUUUGUGGAAGCAAGGGGUGAGUACCAAACGACCCGAUUCUCAGCAAGUAAACCUCUAAACACAAGCUAAGGGGAUGAUAUACGGGUACUCCUACCAUCCCCAACCGAACCUCCACAACUACAACCUGCAUUAAAUCAACCCAACCUAACAGCUCAUAGUUUACAUAGCACGUAACUCAACAACAACUCUUAGACAAAUUACAUAUCCUCAACAACGACACUUGGACUAAUUACAUAUCCUCAUAACAACACUUUGGUAAAUUACAUAUCCUCAACAACAAUACUUUAGCAAAUUACAUAUCCUUAACAACAAUACCUUGCCAAAUUACAUAUCCUCAACAACAUCACUUUAACAAAUUUUAUAUCCUCAAGAACAAGCUCAGUAUUCAUCAAUCACAAGUUCCACAGAAAGGCAUUCACAAGAUCAGCAAAACACAAUAUCAAGUUCACUAAUGAUAAGCAUGUGCAAUGCAAUGGAAUGCAAUGUCAAGUAUAAUGAUGCAUGUCUGACCUAGUGAUACACACCCGCUGUCUCUCAGUCCGAGACCCAUGGGGGACAUAUCUGUCCAUGCAUAUGUCGCGGCGCACGACACGAUCCUCGAUAAUAGUAACCAUCACGGCAUGCGAUAAGUCCCUUGAAAUAUAGUAUCCAUCGCGGCGCGCGAUACGUCCCUCGAAAUGGUACAUCCUCUUAAGUACUCAUUCUUUCUCAAUGCACAUAACACUUGUAACAACCAAGGUCUCGGAAUAAUGCAGAUGACAAGCUCACACAAAUAAUGAGGAGAUGACCAUUUUCAUAACAUCGCACAGUUCACAACCACACAAACAUGAAGUCACAUCAACAAUGAUUCAACAAGCCUUCAACCCUUUCUCAACACAUCACAUAAACAAUUAAUCACAUCACCUUUUUUUAUCCCUUUUUUCAUCAUUAUAAUUAAUCAAUGUGGACAAGUCAACCCAUCACCAAUUCCAUUACUCCCAAACAUAUACCAUAAGGAAAUACACGCAUUUCAUACACUUAACAAUAGUUUAAAAAUCCACUUGCCUAAAUCAAAUCAAGAAUUCACUCCGAGACUUGAGCUUUCUCCUUUCGUUGAAUGUCCAACUCAUAGAAAUCUAUUCACAUUAAUGAUCACAAUAAGAUUUUGCGACUAACAACAACAUUUACACUACUAUGUGUUUAGAUUUUAACCAACAAUUUACCCUUAAUUUAUGAUCAAUUUCAUAAAUCAUGAGAUCAAUUAACAUGUCAAUCUUUUCAAAUUUUUUCAACUUUCAAAUCUAGGGUUAAGUCAUAAUUUCUCCAAAAAUUACAACUCUAAUGAUCUUCAUAUAAUAUAAUACAUCAAUAUUUAAUUACAUAUCUUAAUAUAUCAAACCUUGAAUUAUAACUUGAAAAUUAUAAGAAAUUUGUGGACCAAAACUAAACCCAUAAUCAUUAUAUAUGCAUACAUGCGGACCAGUGUAUAAGCUAAUUAGAACAAAAAUCUCAAUUUAUUCCAACACAAUUAUUUUGCUAUAAUUACCCAAUGAUUGCCAUAGUAAUUUUUCAAUGAUUGGCACUACAAUUUUCUCAAAUCUAUAUUAAUAUAGCAUAUACAAAUUUGGACGAGAAUUUGUGCAACUUAAUUUCCUUUCCUUUUAAUUUCCCACCAUUAUAAAUAUAAUAUAUUAUUAUAAUAAUACUUCAGUCACAUUUCAAUUAGGCGAGACUUUUACCUGAUGCAAUAGAUCGUCCGCCAUAGUUGUCGCCCAUAAAUGUUUCGUCUUUCUUUUUUCUUUCUUAAGUUAAUUGUUUAUGAAAAGUAACAAAUUCAUUAACCUUUUUUAAAUAUAGGCCAAGUGAAAUUAAAUAUUUCAUUAAUU
This 2671-nucleotide long non-coding RNA is filed under the name Solanum lycopersicum (tomato). RNAcentral describes it as "long non-coding RNA (SLYC_LNC001209)". Lineage: Eukaryota; Viridiplantae; Streptophyta; Magnoliopsida; Solanales; Solanaceae. The record is from RNAcentral.